AGUGAACGCUGGCGGUAGGCCUAACACAUGCAAGUCGAACGGCAGCACAGUAAGAGCUUGCUCUUACGGGUGGCGAGUGGCGGACGGGUGAGGAAUACAUCGGAAUCUACUUUUUCGUGGGGGAUAACGUAGGGAAACUUACGCUAAUACCGCAUACGACCUACGGGUGAAAGCAGGGGAUCUUCGGACCUUGCGCGAUUGAAUGAGCCGAUGUCGGAUUAGCUAGUUGGCGGGGUAAAGGCCCACCAAGGCGACGAUCCGUAGCUGGUCUGAGAGGAUGAUCAGCCACACUGGAACUGAGACACGGUCCAGACUCCUACGGGAGGCAGCAGUGGGGAAUAUUGGACGAUGGGCGCAAGCCUGAUCCAGCCAUACCGCGUGGGUGAAGAAGGCCUUCGGGUUGUAAAGCCCUGUUGUUGGGAAAGAAAAGCAGCAGGUUAAUACCCCGCUGUUCUGACGGUACCCAAAGAAUAAGCACCGGCUAACUUCGUG
RNAcentral lists this ribosomal RNA (492 nucleotides) under uncultured bacterium. RNAcentral describes it as "partial 16S ribosomal RNA". It matches the Rfam family "Bacterial small subunit ribosomal RNA", at positions 29 to 507 of the family's 1533-position model. The record is from RNAcentral.